This is a non-coding RNA of Sesamum indicum (sesame), 2532 nucleotides long. The record is from RefSeq and is a predicted model, not a curated record. NCBI's taxonomy places the organism in Eukaryota, Viridiplantae, Streptophyta, Magnoliopsida, Lamiales, Pedaliaceae.
UCAUUUUUUCUUUAUUAAAAUCAUAUCAUAAGAUUUUUUAUGCACAACUUUAAUAAUUUUUGUGGGUAUUCUAACUAAGAGUUGCAUUUCAAAGUAAUAAAAUUUCACCAUUUUUCUCGAUUUAAUAUGAGCAUUCUUCGUAUCUAGACUCAUCCCUCUUAGGACACACACACACACACCUCUUGUUCUAACAAUUCAAAUCAUAUGAACGUGAGAUUUUGAGGUCUAGAUACGAAGAAUUCUUGAAUAUUAUUUAUUUAGAUUAAUUUAAAAACAAAAAUAUAAAAAAGAAUUGUUGCAAAGAAGACAAGUUUAAGAUCGGUGGGUAAGCAGCAGUAUAUGUACAUGUACAGUCGGGUCCUCCGACUAUAAAACCGCAUCAUUUUCCCCAUUCCUCCACCGCACACGCAUUCCUCCCACUCCCGCUACGAUUUAGCCAUCGUACCAGACAGAUAUUGAAAUGACGUCGACCAGCCUUAGAAUCUUGCCGCAGUCUUCCACCAGGGUCUCAUGGCUACCACACCGCCCCCUCUCCACCACUUUCGGCGUCACCACCCUCUCCUUCCGCCGCCACCUCGACCAUCCCCGCAGCUUCGUUGUCCUCUCGAUGGAUGGGAAGCCGACGAUUCUCGUAGCCGAGAAGCUCGGAGAGGCGGGGCUGAAGCUCCUUGAAGAAUUCGCGAAUGUGGAUUGCUCGUAUAACCUCACCCCCGAGGACCUCUGCACCAAGAUCUCACUCUGCGAUGCGCUGAUUGUUAGGAGUGGGACUAAAGUGAGCCGGGAGGUGUUUGAGUCAUCCGCCGGGAGGCUGAAGGUCGUGGGAAGAGCCGGCGUUGGAAUUGAUAACGUGGAUCUGGGGGCGGCGACUGAGCAUGGAUGUCUUGUGGUGAAUGCGCCGACUGCUAACACCGUUGCCGCUGCGGAGCAUGGAAUCGCUCUGCUUACUGCCAUGGCGAGAAACAUUGCUCAAGCCGAUGCCUCCGUCAAAGCUGGUAAAUGGCUGAGGAGCAAAUAUGUUGGUGUAUCUCUUGUUGGUAAGACACUGGCGGUGAUGGGCUUUGGUAAGGUUGGAUCAGAAGUUGCUAGGCGUGCCAAGGGACUCGGUAUGCAUGUCAUUGCACACGAUCCGUAUGCCCCUGCUGACCGCGCUCGUGCAAUAGGUGUAGAGCUUGUGAGCUUUGAUAAAGCGAUUGCAUCAGCCGAUUUCAUCUCACUUCACAUGCCACUUGUUGCUGCUACAUCAAAAAUGCUAAAUGAUGAAACUUUUGCAAAGAUGAAAAAAGGUGUCAGAAUUAUUAAUGUUGCACGUGGUGGUGUGAUUGAUGAAGAAGCAUUGGUAAAGGCCAUUGAUGCCGGCAUUGUCGCCCAGGCAGCGCUUGAUGUAUUCACAGAAGAGCCACCAGCGAAGGACAGCAAGUUGGUACAAAGUGAGAAUGUAAUAGCAACUCCACAUCUUGGUGCCAGUACAAUGGAAGCUCAGGAAGGGGUCGCAAUUGAAAUAGCUGAAGCUGUUGUUGGAGCCUUGAAGGGGGAGCUUGCUGCGACAAAUGUUGUUAGUCGAAGUUAAGCUAUGGGCUUGCAGGAAGUUCUCACUGAGCUGAAGCCUUUUGUUGCUCUUGCUGAAAAACUUGGUAGACUUGCUGUCCAAUUAGUAGCAGGUGGUAGUGGCGUAAAAACGGUAAAAGUUACAUAUGCUUCUGCUAGAGCCCCAGAUGAUCUUGACACCAGGUUGCUCCGUGCCAUGAUUACCAAGGGUCUGAUUGAACCCAUCUCAAAUGUUUUUGUGAAUUUGGUAAAUGCUGACUUCAAUGUUAAACAGAGAGGAAUCCGCAUAACUGAAGAACGGGUUAUGCUGGAUGGUUCACCCGAAAGCCCACUCGAAUCAAUCCAAGUUCAAAUUGCCAAUGUGCAAUCUAAAUUUGCCAGUGCCAUUUCUGAUUCUGGCGAGAUUAAAGUGGAAGGUCGAGUUAAAGAUGGAAUUCCGCAUCUGACUAAGGUAGGGUCUUUCGAAGUGGAUGUCAGCUUGGAAGGCAGUAUCAUACUCUGCAGCCAAGUCGAUCAGCCAGGAAUGAUUGGAAAAGUCGGUAGCAUUUUGGGAGAGGAGAAUGUGAACGUGAGCUUUAUGAGUGUUGGAAGGAUAGCCCCGAGGAAGCAAGCUGUUAUGGCGAUUGGAGUUGAUGAGGAACCAAGCAAGAAAUCAUUGAAAAGGAUUGGUGAAGUCCCAGCUAUUGAGGAAUUUGUUUACCUUAAUCUGUAGUUCAUCUACCAUAUUCUGGAUCAUGUUUUCUCCCAAUUUUGACAACUUUUGUUGCAUUCUGUAGCAGCUUUAGCUCAGGAAAAUAAAUGAUUCAGCUACAGGAUUGAAUUAUGUAUUUCGUGGAGUGAUCAUUGUAUCAAAUUUUGAGAUGAGGAAUAUGCAUUUUUCUUUAUACGAUACAAGAAAGAAAAGCUUGCUACCUUAGCUCUAUCAAGAAGCAAGAUUGUGAACUGAUGAUUACUUCUGCUAGUCUGACGCUUGGCAAGAUCCUUCCU